UACAAAACCUCGGAGACGUUCCACUCAAAAGUCAUAAACAAUCUCUCUUGAGGUAAAACACGAAUAAACUUCCUAGAAUCAAAACGAGAGCUGUUUUAAGUUUGUCAGACGACGUUAUCAGACCCCAGGUAUAAAUUUAUGGUAACACCGGGUAGUACGUAAUAAUGGUCUUAAGUUGUACGUAAUGUCCCUGUUCGUACCGUUGUUCUACCUAAACUGUUUACCAUGUUUUGCUUAGGAGGCACCAGGAAUGGUCUAAGGUACUCCCCACGAGGUCUAGCGCAGCUCUGCCACCGUAAACGCUGCCGCCUCCACCGCUGGAGGGGACUGGGGCAGAAGGAGCCGCUGCAGAAGAAGAGUCCGGACUUCGUACUUUUCGUAAAGUGCCAGGCUUAAGGGGUUACGUACACGGAGAGUUGGUUUGGAGGAGGAACACGGGUGGUGCUCUAGAGGUUGGGGAGACGAGAAAUGUUAGGUCUUCUGAGAAACGUGUACGUUACCGUCGUACCUGCUCCUCAAGAGGAGGGAACGACGUUCUAGGACCAGUGUCUAACGGUAGCGUGAGUAGAACGUUCUUCUUACGCUAGGGACACCUACCCUACACUAGUCCAUCCUCCUCGUAACAGUGGCACGGAAAACACCUCCAGUUACACGAGUCGGUUCUUAUCCUAGAGAGAGCCAAAAUCCGGUGUCAACUCGAGAUUUUAAUCUUGCGGACGGGGAGACUUCUAGUCGUAGGAGACCUUACGUGACCUACAUUUGCGGAAGGUAGUAAGGGACUUAAAAGAGUAAACAACCGGGGUACCAACCAUAAGGUGUUCCCCUUUACCGGACGAGUGACAAACACAGGGACAACAACCUUAUCACCUUUCUUUUUCCCGUGGGAUACAGUAUACGGUGAAGUUAAUACAGCGAAGAUCGUCUACGAAGUAACUCAGACAACACUGCACAACUUUAUAUAACAGG
Molecule: ribosomal RNA, 966 nt
Filed under: Triticum aestivum (bread wheat)
Lineage: Eukaryota; Viridiplantae; Streptophyta; Magnoliopsida; Poales; Poaceae
Description: partial small subunit ribosomal RNA
Source: RNAcentral